RNAcentral lists this long non-coding RNA (8129 nucleotides) under Sus scrofa (pig). RNAcentral's name for it is "lncRNA (ENSSSCG00025006591.1)". Lineage: Eukaryota; Metazoa; Chordata; Mammalia; Artiodactyla; Suidae. The record is from RNAcentral.
AGCCUGGGAACCUCCAUAUGCUGCAAGUGCAGCCCUAAAAAAAGACAAAAGACACACACAAAAAAGACCUGAACAUGCUGUCCACAGAAACCUUCCAUAACUAUGAAAACACAGAUAAAAAGUACAGAAACAGAGAAAGAUACAUCAUGCUUUCAAAAGAAAGAUGAAGAAGCUAUAUUACUAAUAAGGCAAAAGGCUUAAGAACAAGGAAAAUCACCUGGGAUAGGAAGGGCAACAUAAUGUAAAAAGUGUCAGUUCUCCAAAAAGACAUUAACAAUCUUUAAUGUGUCUGUUUUUACACAUUUUGCUGUCAAAAUACUUGAGGGAAAAACUGACCAAGCUGCAAGAAGAAAAAGACAAAGCCACUGUUAUAACUGAAGAUAUCAACAUCCCUCUAUCAGUAACUGACAGAUCCAGGAGCAGAAACUCAGCAAGGAUAUAGCUGAACUGAACAGCACCAUCAAUCAACUGGAUCUAAUUAACAUUUAUAGAAUAUUUUAUCCAAAAAAGCAGAAUACACAUUCUUCUCAAGCUCACACAGGAACAAUCAUUAAACACAUGUUAAUAAUUGUAAAAGUACAGACAAUUACACAAGGUAUGCUCUCAGAACACAAUGGAAUUAAAUUUAAGUGGUAAACUAAACUUAAUCAGUAUCAGAAAGAUAGGUGGAAAAUCCCAAAAUAUUUGGAGUAAACUACACUCUUCUAAAUAAACACAUUGGGUCAAGUCACGUAAAUUUUAAAUUGUACUGAACUAAAUGAAAAUGAAAAAAACAUCAAAAUUUGUGUGAUGCAGCCAAGGAAAGAAUAUAGUACUGAAUGCAUAUAUUAGAAGAGAAGAUAGGUCUAAAAUCAAUCACCUAGGAGUUCCCAUCAUGGCGCAGCAGAAACCUGAAUCCGACUAGGAACCAUGAGGUUGUGGGUUUGAUCCCUAGCCUUGCUCAUGGGUAAGGAUCUGGUGUUGCCAUGGGCUGUGGUGUAGGUUGCAAAUAUGGCUUGGAUAUGGCGUUGUUGUGGCUGAUCUGGCAUUGCCACAGCUGCAGUGUAGGUCGAAACUGUGCCUCAGAUCUGAUCCCUGGUCUGGGAAUUCCACAUGCUGCGGGGAAUAUAUGGCUGUAAUUGUAUGUCAGUCUUCUAAAAGUUCAGUUUUACAUGUCUGUUCAUGUAAAAUUCACAAAUAAAUUCAAAGUUAUAACAUAAUUAAUAACUGAAAUGUUUGAUUUUAAUGCUCUCCUCAAAGAUUAAUAAGACGUCAUAACAGCAAGUCACAUUAUAGAUCACUGUAGCAAAGAAUUAAAAUUUGAGUGCUUUUCUGACUUUUUAAAUCAUUAUAUGGAACAUAAGCAGUUUGGUGAUAUUAACUUUGAAAACAAGUUUAUUAUAGGUGACAAUCAACUUUUCUCUUUCAAAUUUCAGAACACCCACACUCUGUAUCUUAUAUGCUUAGAGCUCUCAGUCUUUCCUUUUGUAAAUUCAGAAUGUUUAUCAGUUGAUCCAGCCAACGGUUCAAGCUACUAUGUCAGCCAAAAUGCCACAUGCUGACAUGCCCCACAUGCCAGCCAACAUUUGUUUCUAAAGCACUGCCAUCUUUACAGUUCAGUGUCCAUUUUUAUAGUCUUAAAAUGUUAUUGUAUUUCUAUUAUUUUACAAGAAUGGAAAAUGAAAAUACAAAGGCCUACUAGAAACAUUAAUUCAACUGAAACAAUAAUAGGCAUUAUUAGGUGAUCCAAGUCUACUUUUAACUAGCUUAAACAUAAAUGAAAUGUUGAAAAAAAUAGCUAAAAGAUCAUAUCAAUAGCUAAAGUACAAGUGCACCAUUUAUGGAUUUAUUCACUCUCACUUCUAAACUCACCCUUUUUGCCUACUCUUUGAAAAUGGAUUUGGGUCCUUUAAGUACUUUGCCAGCCCGCACAAGAGUAGGCUCUGUCAGUAGAACAGAUAGGAGAAUCAACUUAGGACAUAGUGGGUGUCUUUGCUUCCUCCCUAAUGAACUGGGGGGUGUUUUUGCUUCCCAGUUCAAAUAUGCUUAUCCAAAAGACUCUCACAGCACAUGAGGCUUCUCUAGCCCUCAGUUUCUGCAGUAAAGAUGCUUCUCUAGCAACCUGUUCCUACAGCAUAUGCAGCUCGCCCGAAGCCCAGCUCAUGUGUGCACGCAAGCAGCUUCUUUAGCACCAAGCUCUUCCAUCAGAAAUGUAUGUUACUUGCGGUACUUUUUUUAGUCUCUUCAUUUUUAGCAGGCCUUUUCAAACUAAUGUCUUGGAUUUUCAGCUCAGAAAAAUUUUCUUCUUUUUCAAAAUGUCUUCUCUAUUUUUUCUGGUAUCUUUCUAGACUUACUAGAUAGAAGGUGCUGGGCUGCUAUAUCAGGUUGUACUUUGCACAAGAAGAUUCCCAAUAAGGAGUAAAAGCUGAAAUCCAGCCUGAGUCCCACUUACCAAGUCCUGUAUCCUGAUCAAAAAGCAUCAUUUUCUCAUUAAGCCAGGUGUUGUGAAAAUGAACAAGUGUACCUUCUGGGUCAAAGCUAACCUCGAUCUCUCAAGUUUUCACUAUUACCUUAUCUUUUUCUUUUUGCUCUAGAUUUCAGGUCAUUUGCUAUGUAUAUGUAUGUAACUACAGAAGAAAUAGAUGUGUAUGUACGUAACCAUAAAAAAAAAGAUCAUUUUUGUGGAAGCUCCAUCCUAAGUCUAGUAUCUUGCGCCUCAGCCCCUCAAAAUAGAUUAUUUUAUGACCGUGAAGCUUCAGGAUUUUAAAAAGUUGCCCAAGUAACCUGAACGUGCAAAACAAAAUUGGAAUCUACUGCUGUCAGGUAAUGGUACUCAAGCUUUUUUGCUCAAAUACUCCCUAAAAUAAUUUUGAAAAUUUAUGCAUAUCCUCACAAUUUUAAAACUGGCAGGCAAAAUUUUUCAUAUUUUAUAAUGAUUUUAAAAGUUGUAAUUUCCAGUGAACUCUAAAUAUUGUCAUUUUAAAUAAAGCUUUUAUAUUUUUUCUUUCAAAAAUAUCAAUAUAAAACAUCAUCUAUUUUUAAAAACAUAUAGGAUCUUCUAAUACAGUAAAAAAUUGAUAUUAUUCCUGCUUUUCCUUAAAUUUCCACAGAAUUUUAACUAGUGUAAUACUACUCUAUGCUGCAGGGUCUUUUAUAUUUCACUCUACAUGACUUCUCUGUAAAAAAAGAAUAUAAAUAAAAAUUAAACUUUUUUGGUUUUGAUCCAGAAAUUUUAAAAAAUUUCUUCUGAAUCCUAUUAUAAGUACACCACUAACCAAAACAAUAUAAAUAUAUUAUAAACUUUGACAGAUAAUGAUUAAAUAUUGAGUAAAAUGAUAUUAAAAGUGACAACAAAUACAUAGGCAGAAUUUUUUCUGGCUUUUUUUUACAAUGCUUACAUAAAUACAUGGGAACAGAAUUUGUUAGUAUUGUUAAUCUUUUGACUAUUCCUACCUUCUGAAUCAUAUGCCGAAAAUCACAUAAUUAGCUAUCAUUAAAAAAAAUUUUUUUGGAGUUCCUGCCGUGGUGCAGAGGGUUAAGUAUUCGGCAUUGUCUCUAUAGUGGCUUGGGUCACUGCUGGGGUGCGGGUUCAAUCCCCAGCCUGGCACAAUGGGUUAAGGAUCUGGUGUUGCCACAGCUGUGGUAUAGGUGGCAGCUGUAGCUCAGAUGCAAAGAAAAAAAUUUUUUUUUAAUUUUUGGCUGUGGCCUCAGCAUGUAGAAGUUCCCAGGCCAAGGAUCAAGCCUGUGCCAUAGCAGCAACCCAAGCCACAGUAGUAACAACACUGGAUCCUUAACUUAUUGCACCACCAGGGAACUCCUAAAAAUUAUUUUUUAUGAUUUACCAAUAGACAAAUUGAUUAGGUCAAAGGAGGACCUUUUAUUUUGUUUAAAAGGAAAGAAUUGAGAGCAACCAAUUUUACAAGAGGAUUCUUCUUUUUUUAGUCAUUCAUUUCCUCGAUUUCAAUACCAAAUUUUACAACAGUCCCUUUGUUUGGCACUUUGGAGACUUUUACAUCUAUGGAAUAUAAGAGAAGCACGCCUCUUUUGCAACCAUGAAACAGAAUAUAGGAUGGCUAGAAGACUUCGAGGUGCGGGCAAAUCACCUGGGGUUCUUGUUAAAAAUGCAGAUCAUGAUUCAAUAGGUCUGGGGUGGGUCUGAGAUUCUGCAUUUCUAACAAGCACCUAAUAAGGGCAAUGCUGCCGGUGAGUGAGAUACACUUUUGAGUAGAAAGGGCCUAAACCACAGGCCAAUAAAUGUUUAAGAGAGAAUACACAAUAAUACUCAAGAAACUGAAUCCCUUAAAAUGAUUUUUGCCUCUGUACCCCUUGGAAAGUCUACAUGUACCCCCAGGGAUAAGCAUGCCUCAAUUUAAAGACAGCUGCUCAAAAUCAGCAACUAAAAAUGGAAAUUACUGGUUCUGAAGAGUAUUUAAAUUUUUAAAUUUUAAACCACUGACUUUAGUCACAUCACCUCUCUCUCUUUUUUUGGGGGGGGGGCCACACUCAUGAUCUGUGGACAUUCCCGGGCCAAGGACUGAACCUGGGCCAUGGCAGAGUCACAUCACUUUUCUAUUGAAAAUUAUUUGAUGGUUCCUCACUUCCUGAAAAAUAAAAUUAACACUAACACAGGAUUAAGAUCCUUUAAUGUGUGUUUAUAAUCAAGUAAAUCAUAUACACUCACACACAAUCUCUACUUUUUCUUUAUUUAAAGGUACUAUUUAUUUGUUAAUUUAAAAAAAUUUUAAACUUCGGGCAAUGUUCAAAGAACAGGCAUUUAAAAAAUUAAAGUCAACACAAUUACUACACCCAAGAGAUAAUCACUGUUAAGACUCUGAGUAACUUUCUACAGCAGAAAUUAUCACAACAUUGUAAAUCAACUAUACUUUAACAAUUCUUUAAAAAAUGAAAAAAAAGACCUUUGUAAAUUCUUUGCAGUCUUUUCUAUAUGCAUAAGCAUACAAAUGAGUGUGUGUGUGUGUGUGUGUGUGUGUGCGCGUGCACGCGCGCGCUUAAAGAUAAAAUGGAGCAAAUCACUUAAUAAAGAGUUGGGUUUGGUUUUUCUUGACCUAUGCGUUUUUUAUAUGCCAUUAUAUCUACAGCAUUAAAAAAUAUGCUAAAACUUACAUUUUAAUGGCAGCUAUUGCCCAUCAUAAUUCAAGGGUAUCUCAAAAAAAUUGUUCUGUUAAAUCUAGUAAAUCUCAGAUUUACACAACUCUAUCAAUAAUAUUACAUACUUGCUAGAGGAUUAAUUUGCAACCCAUGCAUUAUAUUUCACAUAAAUAUGAAAAUAAUUACUGCCCUAAGUGCCCUGGAAAAGCAGGUUAAAAUACUAUAAACAUUUAAAAAAUAUCCUAAUUUUCUUAAAAGAAUGAAAUAAAAUUCAAAGAAUUUUGUUUUCAUUAUACUUAAAUUUUUGCAUAGAAAGUGGCAAAUCUCCUAAAUGCAUUUGUGAUAAGUGAAUGUUUAUUUCUCCUAAUAUGCAGAAUCAUAAAGGAAGUAUGAGUAAAUAGAGGGAAGAAAUUCACUGACAAAUAAUGAGUAGAAUAAAUGUUAAUUGUUCAGAGGGGAAUAUGGCAAGUGACUCUGAAAUGCUAUCAGCCAAGCUGCCUUCAGUAAACAACAUCUUCUGUAAUCAGCCAAGCUGCCUUCAAUAAACAGUAUCUAUAACCGUAAAUAUGAAACAAAUCUGAAUAUAAACUGAAAGAUUUACUUUUUAAUGUAAAAAGUGGUGAAUGUGAAGAGAAGUAUCAGCAGGUAAACUGGUUCACACAUAUAAUAUCUAAGGAAGAAGUACCUGAUGAAUGACCCAGCCUGUAUCAAGUGUCCUAUAUUACCGUCUGGGAAAAGUCUACCUCAAGCCAUCUUCCUGGUUCUGAUAUGUUAUACUAACUCCACAAGUUCCAAAUGUUAACCUAAUUUCCCAAAUAGGAGUUGUUGAAUAUGCACAAGAGUAAAAAUAAAUACCUGCAUUCAAGGAAUUUGAAGAACAGUAAAAUAAAUCAGAUCUGUAUUAAAGGAAAUCAUAGCUCAUUUACCUCUUCCAAGAAGUCUCUACUCAAGCCCAAGCCAAGAGUAAAAGCUCCAUCCCCUGAAUCUCACUUCUGAGGCAUUUACUGCUUUUAUCAUUCAUCUGAACUUAGCUUUUGCUAUAUUCUAUUGUACUAUUAUAUGUAUAGAAGCUCAUCACCAGAAAUUCUUUCUUGUAACUUCAAAUAGGACUGCUCUUAUUCAAGAAUUAGAGGCACCCAAUAACUUGUUUAUGGCAUGGAUAGCCAAAAAGGUGAAAAGCCAAAAUUGUGACUCAAAUACCACAAUGCAGCAAUAAAAGUAUAAAAAAAAAACAGUUUUCUUUAACUGUCAUCCACAGUAGCAUUUUAGGCUGUAGAAAAUGGAGAUGGUGAUAGAUAUCAAACACUUAAACUUUCAGAACUGAGAUAUGUAAAUUUUCCAAUCAUCCGAAAUUUUAAAUUCUGGAAGAAACUUCUGUCAAACUUAUAGUUAUUUUCAGUUCUUUUAAAAUCUAUACCUCAGUUUUUUUAAGGAAGGAAUUCAUAAACAACUUAAAUUUCAUAAAUAUCUCCCAUUCAAACUUUAGGAAAAAAAUAUCAACUUUCAACUAACAUCCCCACCACAAACUAUUUAGCAAAAGAUGUGUGAACCCAUGUAUAUCUCCACCUAAGUAUGUACACUGAUAGGUAGGUAAAUAGUUUAAAAGAUGAAGACAUGGAGCUAAUCCAUAUACAUGCAUUCUGAACAAAAAUACAAGAUCAAGGACUAGCUCAACCAUCACAGAAAGUUCUUAGAGUAACAGACCUGAAGUCAAGUGAUUUGCUAUCUAAUUUCAGAUGGUCACUCUCCUUCUAGAGCUUCAAAUCAUAUGCACUACUUCAAUAACAGAGAAAAAAAAAAAAAUCAACCAAGAACAGCAUGGCAGUUCCUUAAUCAGUUAAACUUAUGACCCACUUAUCAUAUGACCCAACAAUUCCAUUCCAAGGCAUUUAUCAAAGAAAAAUUAAAACAUAAAACCACGCAAAAACUUGUAAACAAAUGUUCACAGCAACAUUAUUCAUUAAUAGCCAAAAAAGUGGAUACAAGCUAAAUGUCCACCUACUAACAGAUAAACAAAAUGUGGUAUAUCCAUACAAUUGAGUAUUACCUGCCAUGAAAAGGAUAAUACCAAUGCAUGCUACAACAUGCAUGAACCUUGAAAAAGUAUACCAAAUGAAUGAAGCCAAUCACAAAGACUAUAUUAUAUGAUUUCAGUUAUAUGAAAUGUCUGGAAUAGGCAAAUCUAUAGAGACAGAAAGUAAACUAAUGGUUGCUCAGGGAUGGACGAGUUAGCAGAUAAUAACAAAGGGUAUACUUUUCUUUUUGAGGUUAUGAAAAUGUUUUUAAAACUGACUGCAAUGAUGGUUGCAUAUAUUUGUGAACACACUAAAAAGUACUGAAUUGUACAUUUUAAGAAGUUGAAUGCAUAAAAUGAAAAUUACCAAAAAACUUUUAAAACUAGAUAGAUAAGAAGCUAUGCAUCUAGAUAAUUAUCUAGAAGCUAUCUAAUUUUCCAAGCAGAAACAAAUCCAACUAGGAACCAUGAGGUUGAGAGUUCAAUCCCUGGCCUCGCACAGUGGACAUUGCCAUGAGUUGUGGUAUAGGUCGCGUGUGCGGCUCAGAUCUGACGUUGCUGUGGCUGUGGCACAGGCUGGCAGGUAUAGCUCUGAUUUGACCUCUAGCUUGGGAACCUCCAUAUUAGGGUUAGGGUGCAGCCUAAAAAGCAAACGAAACAAAACAAAACAACCCUACCAGGGAGUUCCCAUUAUGGCUUAGCAGGUUAAGAACCCAACAUAGUAUCCAUGUGCAGGUGCAGCCCUAAAAAGCAAACAAAACAAAACAAAACAAAACACAACAAACCCUAUCAGGGAAUUCCCAUUGUGGCUUAGCAGGUUAAGAACCCAACAUAGUAUCCAUGAGGAUUCAGGUUUGAUCCCUGCCCUCGGCCAAGAUAUUAAGGAUCCAGUGUUGCUGCAAGCUGCAGCAUAGAAGAUAGAACGUUGCCUUGGCCUACCCCUUAGCUACAGCUCUGAUUCUACCCUAGCCCAGGAAUUCCCAUUAUGCCACAGGUGUGGCUGUUAAAAAAAAAAAAAAAAAAAAAA